RNAcentral lists this ribosomal RNA (465 nucleotides) under Vreelandella stevensii. Its description in RNAcentral is "partial 16S ribosomal RNA". It matches the Rfam family "Bacterial small subunit ribosomal RNA", at positions 338 to 795 of the family's 1533-position model. Lineage: Bacteria; Pseudomonadati; Pseudomonadota; Gammaproteobacteria; Oceanospirillales; Halomonadaceae. The record is from RNAcentral.
CCUACGGGUGGCAGCAGUGGGGAAUAUUGGACAAUGGGCGAAAGCCUGAUCCAGCCAUGCCGCGUGUGUGAAGAAGGCCUUCGGGUUGUAAAGCACUUUCAGUGGGGAAGAAAGCCUUGGGGCUAAUACCCUCGAGGAAGGACAUCACCCACAGAAGAAGCACCGGCUAACUCCGUGCCAGCAGCCGCGGUAAUACGGAGGGUGCGAGCGUUAAUCGGAAUUACUGGGCGUAAAGCGCGCGUAGGCGGUCUUAUAAGCCGGUUGUGAAAGCCCCGGGCUCAACCUGGGAACGGCAUCCGGAACUGUCAGGCUAGAGUGCAGGAGAGGAAGGUAGAAUUCCCGGUGUAGAGGUGAACUGCGUAGAGAUCGGGAGGAACACCAGUGGCGAAGGCGGCCUUCUGGACUGACACUGACGCUGAGGUGCGAAAGCGUGGGUAGCAAACAGGAUUAGAUACCCUUGUAGUC